Non-coding RNA from Vicia faba (fava bean), 493 nucleotides. The record is from the annotation of a GenBank genome assembly. NCBI's taxonomy places the organism in Eukaryota, Viridiplantae, Streptophyta, Magnoliopsida, Fabales, Fabaceae.
ACUCACAUUUUCACAUUUCACAAAAAUCAAAACUAACUCUCUCUCUAAACUAUUCUCUCAUUCUCUCAAGAACAACUUAACACAAUCUCACAAAAAAACUCAUCGAAUCUUAAAUAAUCUUCAUCUUCUUCACAAAUAUUUCCGUAAGCUUCUCCUAAUCCCUGAUCUCCCUCCGUUUUGCACCGCACAGGCCGUUUGGAUUGGCCUAUUCUCGUCACUCCCUCCUCUUCAAGAACCACCGCGAGUUGAUUCUGCCAUCGCGCAUGCAGCCUGCUCCGCCGUGAGCGUCCGGCGAUUCUGCCUCCCUUCGAUUUCACGGAGAUUCUGGAUUCCUCUUCCUCCUUCGUGUAAUUAUUUUCCAGAUAUAUCUUCCUCCUAUCCGAUCCGUUUCGUUUCGGUAACUCUUGAAUUCUCCUGUUUUAUUUGUUUUCUCGCACAUUUGAUUAUUGAUAAUUGUUGUGGAAUUGAGGAAUUGAUAUUAAACUUGAAUUGA